UACGUAGGGGCUAGCGUUAUCCGGAAUUACUGGGCGUAAAGGGUGCGUAGGCGGCCUUGUAAGUCAGCGGUGAAAUUUUGCAGCUUAACUGUAAAAGUGCCGUUGAUACUGUGAGGCUAGGAUUUGGUUGCUGUGGGUGGAAUGUGUGGUGUAGCGGUGAAAUGCUUAGAGAUCACACAGAAUAUCGAUUGCGAAGGCAGCUCACAAAGCCAAGAUUGACGCUGAGGCACGAAAGUGUGGGGAUCAAACAGGAUUA
Molecule: ribosomal RNA, 256 nt
Filed under: uncultured prokaryote
Description: partial 16S ribosomal RNA
Rfam family: Bacterial small subunit ribosomal RNA
Source: RNAcentral